AGAGUUUGAUCCUGGCUCAGGAUGAACGCUGGCUACAGGCUUAACACAUGCAAGUCGAGGGGCAGCAUGUAGGUGGCUUGCCACCUAUGAUGGCGACCGGCGCACGGGUGAGUAACGCGUAUCCAACCUGCCCCCUUCCCCGGCACAGCCCCCCGAAAGGGGGAUUAAUGCGGGAUGCGGCCGCGCGACGGCAUCAGGUCGCGGCGAAAGGCUCUGGCCGGAAGGGGAUGGGGAUGCGUCCGAUUAGCUAGACGGCGGGGCAACGGCCCACCGUGGCGACGAUCGGUAGGGGCCCUGAGAGGGGAAUCCCCCACAUUGGGACUGAGACACGGCCCAAACUCCUACGGGAGGCAGCAGUGAGGAAUAUUGGUCAAUGGGCGGAGGCCUGAACCAGCCAAGUAGCGUGAGGGACGAAGGCCCUACGGGUUGUAAACCUCUUUUGUGCGGGGACAAAGUGUGGGACGUGUCCCAUAUUGCGGGUACCGCACGAAUAAGGACCGGCUAAUUCCGUGCCAGCAGCCGCGGUAAUACGGAAGGUCCGGGCGUUAUCCGGAUUCAUUGGGUUUAAAGGGAGCGCAGGCCGCCUAUUAAGCGUGCCGUGAAAUGCCGCGGCUCAACCGUGGCACUGCGGCGCGAACUGGUGGGCUUGGGUGCGCGGAAGGCAGGCGGAAUUCGUGGUGUAGCGGUGAAAUGCUUAGAUAUCACGAGGAACCCCGAUUGCGAAGGCAGCCUGCCGCAGCGCGACCGACGCUGAGGCUCGAAAGCGCGGGUAUCGAACAGGAUUAGAUACCCUGGUAGUCCGCGCGGUAAACGAUGGACGCCCGCCGUGGGGUGAUUGUUAUUCCGCGGCCAAGCGAAAGCGUUAAGCGUCCCACCUGGGGAGUACGCCGGCAACGGUGAAACUCAAAGGAAUUGACGGGGGCCCGCACAAGCGGAGGAACAUGUGGUUUAAUUCGAUGAUACGCGAGGAACCUUACCCGGGCUUGAAUUGCAGACGAACGACCCAGAGAUGGGAAGGCCCUCCGGGGCGUCUGUGAAGGUGCUGCAUGGUUGUCGUCAGCUCGUGCCGUGAGGUGUCGGCUCAAGUGCCAUAACGAGCGCAACCCCCGCCCCCAGUUGCCAUCGGGUAGUGCCGGGCACUCUGGGGGGACUGCCGCCGCAAGGUGCGAGGAAGGCGGGGACGACGUCAAAUCAGCACGGCCCUUACGUCCGGGGCUACACACGUGUUACAAUGGCCGGUACAGAGUGUUGGCGCGCCGCAAGGCGCGUCGGAUCUUGAAAGCCGGCCUCAGUUCGGACCGGGGUCUGCAACCCGACCCCGCGAAGCUGGAUUCGCUAGUAAUCGCGCAUCAGCCAUGGCGCGGUGAAUACGUUCCCGGGCCUUGUACACACCGCCCGUCAAGCCAUGAAAGCCGGGGGUACCUGAAGUGCGUAACCGCAAGGAGCGCCCUAGGGUAAAACUGGUGAUUGGGGCUAAGUCGUAACAAGGUAGCCGUACCGGAAGGUGCGGCUG
This 1513-nucleotide ribosomal RNA is filed under the name uncultured Prevotella sp. Its description in RNAcentral is "bacterial SSU rRNA". It matches the Rfam family "Bacterial small subunit ribosomal RNA". The record is from RNAcentral. Lineage: Bacteria; Pseudomonadati; Bacteroidota; Bacteroidia; Bacteroidales; Prevotellaceae.